Molecule: ribosomal RNA, 329 nt
Filed under: uncultured eukaryote
Lineage: Eukaryota
Description: partial 18S ribosomal RNA
Rfam family: Eukaryotic small subunit ribosomal RNA
Source: RNAcentral
CCCUUAGAUGUUCUGGGCCGCACGCGCACUACACUGAUGCAUUCAACGAGUCUAAAACCUGCUCUGAUAGGGGUGGGUAAUCUUUUGAAUGUGCAUCGUGAUUGGGAUAGAUGAUUGCAAUUUUUCAUCUUCAACGAGGAAUGCCUAGUAAACGCAAGUCAUCAGCUUGCAUUGAUUACGUCCCUGCCCUUUGUACACACCGCCCGUCGCUCCUACCGAUUGAAUGAUCCGAUGAAUAUCAUGGAUUGAGGAUGCAAGCAGGUUCGCCUGUCUUCAUCUUCGAGAAGUGAAGUAAAUCUUAUCAUUUAGAGGAAGGAGAAGUCGUAACA